This is an RNA transcript of Corythoichthys intestinalis (scribbled pipefish), 1778 nucleotides long. It is a transcript of the gene named coiled-coil domain containing 106a, with no coding region annotated. NCBI's taxonomy places the organism in Eukaryota, Metazoa, Chordata, Actinopteri, Syngnathiformes, Syngnathidae. The transcript has 9 exons. The record is from RefSeq and is a predicted model, not a curated record.
CAUAUUGAUGGCAAUAAUAAUAGUGUUAUUGUUAGCUUGUUAGCUAGCUGAGGGGCUUGCGAAAUGGCGACAUGACGGAGUAAUAACGACGUUUUAUUACAUGUUUGUCACAAGGUUAUUACGAACGUUAAACUGAUUUUGAUGAUGGAGAACGGACACAGAUCUGAUGGUGCAUCCACUUCCAAAAACCACUCAGGAUCUCUACACCUACAGAUUCCAAAAAAUGAAGACAAUUACGAAAUCGCGAUUCCGCUGGAGGAAAGCAACUUUGAGCAGCAAGGAUUUUUCAACCAAAAUGACCAAAAUUUUGAAGAGUCACCGCCAUCUGCUGGCACCUCCCACGUGAACAGCUCUUACAUGGUGAUCACCAACCUUCGGACGCAGCUGCAGAUUUCUAUGGAGAAAAACUCCUGGCUUCAGAAACGAAUUGAGGACCUGGAAGAGGAGCGGGACUUCCUGCGGUGCCAGCUCGACUGCUUUAUUUCGUCUACAAAAAGCCAGCGACAAGAUCAAGGUUACGAGUCAAGACGAUUCAAUUGGAGGGAAAGACGAGAGGGUGAACGUUCUGCUGAGCAACAAAAACCAGACACGCCACGCUUACCCUCUCACCAGUUGAUCCAACGAAGGCCCCCUGUGACAUCAGCAGCUCCCUCCCAAAACCACGUCUCCAAUCCAAUGAACAACCAGAUGGCCUCCAUGAAUGCUCUGUUCACUCCGGCACAAUCCGCAGCCCUCCUGCAUGGCCUCAGCACUGCCAGUAAUUCAGCUGGUGGCAGCGGCAUUAACAGUUCUGCGAGACCGCUGAUGAAUGAGCAUCGAAACUUAAAUCCAGAUCCUCUUCCACUCAUGGGGGAAUCGGAUGAAUAUUUGGAAAAUGAUGGCUACCUAGAAGAGGAGGAAAUGAUGCCUGGAGAAGGUCCUGUGCAAGAUCCCAUUCACAGCAACAAACUAUUAUUGAAGAGAAGGAGACUAUUCAGAGGGAUCAGAGAGAGGCAAAGAGUAAAAGACCCUGCUGGAGUGCUUUUCCGCUAUAAGAAAAUCCUCCUCACAUACCAACGUGUCAAAAACAUGUCCAAGGCAUUCCAAAUCCAUGGCGUGGAUCGCAACACCGUGGCUUCUACCACACCUAUCGCAGAGCUCAUGCUUGCAGCCCCCGAGAAGGUGGCAGUGGUUGGAGAGUUUGACCCAUCCAAGGAGAAACUGCUGGAAUACGCUCGCCGCUGCUACAUGGCGCUGGAUGGGGAGAUUGUUAACAGGGUGCAAGCUCUGAAGAAAAACUACUUACUUCUGCCUAUCGCUUACAGGUUCAGACACACUGACAUAUGAAGCUGUUCAACAGCUAAAGUAGAUGAAAGAAAGUCUACAGGUACGGAGAAAUGAUUUAUUCUCAUAGGGGUUCAUUUACUUACUAAUGUAAUUUAGAAACAAAUUAAAAACGAAAAAAAACAUCGUCAUUCGGAUUUUUGUAAGUCAGACCAAAGGUUUGGUAUAAUCUUUUCUUCCCUUCAGACAUAGUUUGUGAUGCUGUUUAAAAAUUAAAUGUGACUUGUAAUGCCAUUUCAGUAAUUAGAUAAUGUUAGCUGCAUUUUCUUUACAAUGUAAAUCUAAUCACUUUGUAUUCACACCUUACAAUAAUACUGCAAUCUGCAAAAAUGUUUUCGUAAAGCCAUUACGUAAUUGUAAGCAAUGAGAACUUUACAUAUUGUCACUGUGUUUUGAGUCUACUUGAUGUUUUUGUCGUUCCUAUUUAAUUACUUGACUUUGCCUUAAUUAAAGUU